RNAcentral lists this ribosomal RNA (433 nucleotides) under uncultured bacterium. RNAcentral's name for it is "partial 16S ribosomal RNA". It matches the Rfam family "Bacterial small subunit ribosomal RNA", at positions 28 to 507 of the family's 1533-position model. The record is from RNAcentral.
AGCGAACGCUGGCGGCAGGCUUAACACAUGCAAGUCGAGCGGGCGCUUCGGGGUCAGCGGCGGACGGGUGAGUAACGCGGGGGAACGUGCCUUCUGGUCUGGAAUAUCCCUGGGAAACUAGGGCUAAUACCGGAUACGCUCUCUUGGGGGUAGGUUUACUGCCGGAGGAUGGGCUCGGGUCCGAUUAGUUAGUGGGUGGGGUAACGGCCUACCAGGGCGACGAUCAGUAGCUUGUCUGAGAGGAGGCGCAGCGACACUGGGGGUGGGACACGGCCCAGACUCCUACGGCAGGCAGGAGUGGGUAAUCUUGGACAGUGGGCGCAAGGCUGAUCCAGCCCUGCCGCGUGAGUGCUGAAGGCCUUAGGGUUGUACAGCUCUUUUAUCCGGGACGAUAAUGACGGUACCGGAGGAAUAAGCCCCGGCUAACUUCGUG